Molecule: long non-coding RNA, 250 nt
Organism: Coregonus clupeaformis (lake whitefish)
Lineage: Eukaryota; Metazoa; Chordata; Actinopteri; Salmoniformes; Salmonidae
Exons: 3
Source: RefSeq, a predicted model, not a curated record
AUGGACUCUACAAGGUGUUGACUCCAAUGCGUCCCACAGUUUUGUCAAGUUGGCUGGAUGUCCUUUGGGUGCUGAACAUCGAAUAUUCCAAUCAUAGUGUAAAUGCAGAUGCUGUACUCUAGAGGCUGUGGACUGUGGAGAGACUGAGAGAGAGGAGUGGAGGCAGCACUGGCACUGACCUUGGGAAAGAUUCCACCUACAAAAGAAGAGAAGAGCUGAGAGAGGGAGAGAGAGAGAGAGAGAGAAAGAG